Molecule: transfer RNA, 77 nt
Filed under: Vibrio vulnificus
Lineage: Bacteria; Pseudomonadati; Pseudomonadota; Gammaproteobacteria; Vibrionales; Vibrionaceae
Also listed under: 2 other names
Description: tRNA-Met
Rfam family: tRNA
About the family: Transfer RNA (tRNA) molecules are approximately 80 nucleotides in length.
Source: RNAcentral
CGCGGGGUGGAGCAGCUUGGUAGCUCGUCGGGCUCAUAACCCGAAGGUCGUYGGUUCAAAUCCGGCCCCCGCAACCA